This is a long non-coding RNA of Corvus moneduloides (New Caledonian crow), 848 nucleotides long. NCBI's taxonomy places the organism in Eukaryota, Metazoa, Chordata, Aves, Passeriformes, Corvidae. The record is from Ensembl.
GAGAAAAUAACAAAGCCCUUAAGCUUUGGACAGACACCAAAGAGCCUUGUUUCAUUUUUGGGCUGUCUUCAUUUCUUUUACAGUAAAACCAGCCUGUCUUCUUGUUACUCCAUUUCAGCCACAGCUAUUUUAGAAAUAAUUGUGUCACAUAAAUCUCUUCCUGGUAUCUGCUUUUGCUGUCCUCUUUCCCCAUCACAGAACAAAGAAAAUACUUUGAUGAAUUAAAAUAUAAAAUAAGGAAACAAACCAAGGUAUUUAUUUUUCUGGUCAUCAGUUAGUAAACACUUAUAUUUUCAUUACCCAGUAAUAUACUUUAUGAUGUUACACUUUUUCCUUCUAUCUAGCUGUCAUUUAUAAGAGUCAAUUUUAGUGAUUAUAUAAAGUGAUGGAGAGCAGUCAAGCUGAAGGAUCAUCAAUAACUGUAAAUGAUUAAAAAGAGUGUUUACAGUAAGGCACUAGUUUCAUGACCUUUGUAACUGGUUACAUUUCUCCUUUGUGUCAGUGUGACUGUCUCUUGGUUGAUGGUAAUGUGCAGGGACUGCAAGGCCUGCGUGGGAUCAGUCAGGUCUGGUCAUGGCCUCAGGGUCCGGAAGGACAACUCAGAUUCUGGUCUUAUAGGCAUUCUUUCCCUCUGUGUUUCGGGACUUACAGCAGGCUGCCCUAGCUUGGACACUCCGUUAAACACCAUCUACCACAGAAGGAGAGACAGACAGACAGAGACACAGAGGGAUAGACUCCACCUGCCAGGUUUGGUCUGUGGAUGACAUGCUGCUGCGUACAAGAGCUUUCACAUUUAAUAGGAAAAAGGAGCUCUAGUAACUGUAACAUCUGAACUUGCAUAUCACAAG